Molecule: ribosomal RNA, 433 nt
Filed under: uncultured bacterium
Lineage: Bacteria
Description: partial 16S ribosomal RNA
Rfam family: Bacterial small subunit ribosomal RNA
Source: RNAcentral
AACGAACGCUGGCGGCAUGCCUAACACAUGCAAGUCGAACGAGACCUUCGGGUCUAGUGGCGCACGGGUGCGUAACGCGUGGGAACCUGCCCUUAGGUUCGGCAUAACUCCCCGAAAGGGGUGCUAAUACCGGAUAAUGUCUUCGGACCAAAGAUUUAUCGCCUUUGGAUGGGCCCGCGUUGGAUUAGCUAGUUGGUAGGGUAAAAGCCUACCAAGGCGACGAUCCAUAGCUGGUCUGAGAGGAUGAUCAGCCACACUGGGACUGAGACACGGCCCAGACUCCUACGGGAGGCAGCAGUGGGGGAUAUUGGACAAUGGGCGAAAGCCUGAUCCAGCAAUGCCGCGUGAGUGAUGAAGGCCUUAGGGUUGUAAAGCUCUUUUACCCGGGAUGAUAAUGACAGUACCGGGAGAAUAAGCUCCGGCUAACUCCGUG